This 109-nucleotide ribosomal RNA is filed under the name uncultured bacterium. RNAcentral's name for it is "partial 16S ribosomal RNA". The record is from RNAcentral.
GAUACCGUCAACUCUCUACACGUAGAAAGGUUUCUUCUCUUACAAAAGAAGUUUACAACCCGUAGGGCCGUCAUCCUUCACGCGGCAUGGCUGGUUCAGGCUUGNGCCC